GUUUUAAUAGUUUAAGAAAAAAUUUAGAUC
RNAcentral lists this transfer RNA (30 nucleotides) under Rhodopsalta cruentata. RNAcentral describes it as "partial tRNA-Thr". The record is from RNAcentral. Lineage: Eukaryota; Metazoa; Arthropoda; Insecta; Hemiptera; Cicadidae.